UACGUAGGUCUCGAGCGUUAUCCGGAAUUACUGGGCGUAAAGCGUCUGUAGCCGGGUACAUAAGUCUGUCUUUAAAUACUCUGAUUCAAUCGGAGAAAGGGGAUAGAUACUGUAUACCUAGAGGAUUUUAGAGGUUAGUGGAAUUUCCGGUGGAGCGGUGAAAUGUGUUGAUAUCGGAAGGAAUGCCUAAAGCGAAAGCAGCUAACUAUAAAAUAUCUGACGGUCAGAGACGAAAGUUUGGGUAGCGAACGGG
This 253-nucleotide ribosomal RNA is filed under the name uncultured bacterium. Its description in RNAcentral is "partial 16S ribosomal RNA". It matches the Rfam family "Bacterial small subunit ribosomal RNA", at positions 524 to 776 of the family's 1533-position model. The record is from RNAcentral.